This 148-nucleotide small RNA is filed under the name Macaca fascicularis (crab-eating macaque). Its description in RNAcentral is "Metazoan signal recognition particle RNA (ENSMFAG00000060760.1)". It matches the Rfam family "Metazoan signal recognition particle RNA". Rfam says of the family: The signal recognition particle (SRP) is a universally conserved ribonucleoprotein. It is involved in the co-translational targeting of proteins to membranes. Lineage: Eukaryota; Metazoa; Chordata; Mammalia; Primates; Cercopithecidae. The record is from Rfam by way of RNAcentral.
GCCGGGUGUGGUGAUGUGCACCUGUAGUCCCAGCUCCUCGGGAGGCUGAGGUGGGAGAAUUGCUAGAGCCCAGGAGGCUGAGGCUGCAGUGAGCCAUGAUGGUGCCACUGCACUCCAGCCUGGGUGACAAAGUAAGACCCUGUCUCAA